This 495-nucleotide ribosomal RNA is filed under the name uncultured bacterium. Its description in RNAcentral is "partial 16S ribosomal RNA". It matches the Rfam family "Bacterial small subunit ribosomal RNA", at positions 28 to 507 of the family's 1533-position model. The record is from RNAcentral.
GAUGAACGCUGGCGGCGUGCCUAAUACAUGCAAGUAGAACGCUGAAGGAGGAGCUUUCUCUUCUGGAUAAGUUGCGAACGGGUGAGUAACGCGUAGGUAACCUGCCUGCUAGCGGGGGAGAAAUAUUGGAAACGAUAGACAAUAACGCAUGACAACAGUUAAUGCAUGAUAACUGUUUAAAAGGGGCAAUUGCCCCACUACCUGAUGGACCUGCGUUGGAUUAGCUAGUUGGUGAGGUAACGGCUCACCAAGGCGACGAUACAUAGCCGACCUGAGAGGGUGAUCGGCCACACUGGGACUGAGACACGGCCCAGACUCCUACGGGAGGCAGCAGUAGGGAAUCUUCCGCAAUGGACGGAAGUCUGACCGAGCAACGCCGCGUGAGUGAAGAAGGUUUUCGGGUCGUAAAGCUCUGUUGAUAGGGAAGAACGGGUGUGUGAGUGAAAAGUUCACGCUUUGACGGUAUCUUACCAGAAAGCCACGGCUAACUACGUG